This is a small nucleolar RNA of Erinaceus europaeus (western European hedgehog), 138 nucleotides long. Lineage: Eukaryota; Metazoa; Chordata; Mammalia; Eulipotyphla; Erinaceidae. The record is from Ensembl.
AAGGGAACCUGUAGAAAACCAAUCAUGUGGACAGAGGAGAAUACCCCUUGUCCACACAUUGCAGUGUUCCUACAUAAACAUGGAGGUCUCUGUCUGACUUUGGACAGCCACUGAGUCAGAUCGUUCCCUCCAUACAGU